Molecule: non-coding RNA, 84 nt
Organism: Acanthosepion pharaonis
Lineage: Eukaryota; Metazoa; Mollusca; Cephalopoda; Sepiida; Sepiidae
Source: the annotation of a GenBank genome assembly
ACCAUACAAUCACUAAAGUUAAGCAACAUUGAGCCUGGUCAUUACCUAGAUGGGUGACCGCUUGGGAAUACCAGGUGCUGUUAG